RNAcentral lists this ribosomal RNA (321 nucleotides) under uncultured Bacteroidota bacterium. RNAcentral's name for it is "bacterial SSU rRNA". It matches the Rfam family "Bacterial small subunit ribosomal RNA", at positions 28 to 351 of the family's 1533-position model. The record is from RNAcentral. Lineage: Bacteria; Pseudomonadati; Bacteroidota.
GAUGAACGCUAGCGGGAGGCUUAACACAUGCAAGUCGAGGGAUAGUUUCAGCAAUGGGACGAAAACCGGCGCACGGGUGAGUAACGCGUAUGCAACCUGCCCUUUACCGGGGGAUAGCCCGUCGAAAGGCGGAUUAAUACCCCAUAAGAUCAUAGUCCUGCAUGGGACAGUGAUUAAAGCUUAGGUGGUAAAGGAUGGGCAUGCGUGACAUUAGCUGGUUGGUAGGGUAACGGCCUACCAAGGCUACGAUGUCUAGGGGUUCUGAGAGGAAGGUCCCCCACACUGGUACUGAGACACGGACCAGACUCCUACGGGUGGCAG